Molecule: long non-coding RNA, 520 nt
Filed under: Nicotiana benthamiana
Lineage: Eukaryota; Viridiplantae; Streptophyta; Magnoliopsida; Solanales; Solanaceae
Description: long non-coding RNA (NBEN_LNC037903)
Source: RNAcentral
GCUGCCUCCAUUUGUCUGCUUCAGCUAAAUCUCGACACUCUGAGGCUAAAUAUGGGCGCCGUUCUUUGGGCUUUUUCUUUUCUUCUUCUUUCAUUGUGAUGAAUCGAUUUAACAUUGACUGGGCUUUCUCUUCAUUACGCGCCAUGGCUGGUUCUGUGAAUUGCGAAGAACUGAAACGCUACAGAUUUACAUUGACUGGGCUUUCUCUUCAUUACGCGCCAUGGCUGGUUCUCUGAAUUGCGAAGAACUGAAACCCUACAGAUUUUUCAGCUGGGGAUUUGGGGGGAAAUCCUAAACCCUAGAAGAAGAGCAAUUUCAGAAGUUUAUGAGAGAAGCUUUUGGCUUUAUUCAGAUUUUCGGGGGUUGUGUUGCGGUUCAGUAGCUAUCAAGUGUAUCGAACGAUGUCGUGUGGAUUUCUCAAUUUUAUUUUAGUUUUGAAUCUUAAACCUACAUGUUAGUAGGAUAAAGUUGUAGUAGUAAAAAAAUAGUACUCCUUCUGUUCUAAUUAUGUGAACCUAUU